GACGAACGCUGGCGGCGUGCUUAACACAUGCAAGUCGAACGGAAAGGCCCUGCUUUUGUGGGGUGCUCGAGUGGCGAACGGGUGAGUAACACGUGAGUAACCUGCCCUUGACUUUGGGAUAACUUCAGGAAACUGGGGCUAAUACCGGAUAGGAGCUCCUGCUGCAUGGUGGGGGGUGGAAAGUUUCGGCGGUUGGGGAGGGACUCGCGGCUUAUCAGCUUGUUGGGGGGGUAGUGGCUUACCAAGGCUUUGACGGGUAGCCGGCCUGAGAGGGUGACCGGCCACAUUGGGACUGAGAUACGGCCCAGACUCCUACGGGAGGCAGCAGUGGGGAAUAUUGCACAAUGGGCGGAAGCCUGAUGCAGCAACGCCGCGUGCGGGAUGACGGCCUUCGGGUUGUAAACCGCUUUCGCCUGUGACGAAGCGUGAGUGACGGUAAUGGGUAAAGAAGCACCGGCUAACUACGUG
RNAcentral lists this ribosomal RNA (468 nucleotides) under uncultured bacterium. Its description in RNAcentral is "partial 16S ribosomal RNA". It matches the Rfam family "Bacterial small subunit ribosomal RNA", at positions 28 to 507 of the family's 1533-position model. The record is from RNAcentral.